Molecule: ribosomal RNA, 468 nt
Filed under: uncultured bacterium
Lineage: Bacteria
Description: partial 16S ribosomal RNA
Rfam family: Bacterial small subunit ribosomal RNA
Source: RNAcentral
GACGAACGCUGGCGGCGUGCUUAACACAUGCCAGUCGAACGGAAAGGCCCUGCUUUUGUGGGGUGCUCGAGUGGCGAACGGGUGAGUAACACGUGAGUAACCUGCCCUUGACUUUGGGAUAACUUCAGGAAACUGGGGCUAAUACCGGAUAGGAGCUCCUGCUGCAUGGUGGGGGUUGGAAAGUUUCGGCGGUGGGGGAUGGACUGGCGGCUUAUCAGCUUGUUGGUGGGGUAGUGGCUUACCAAGGCUUUGACGGGUAGCCGGCCUGAGAGGGUGACCGGCCACAUUGGGACUGAGAUACGGCCCAGACUCCUACGGGAGGCAGCAGUGGGGAAUAUUGCACAAUGGGCGGAAGCCUGAUGCAGCAACGCCGCGUGCGGGAUGACGGCCUUCGGGUUGUAAACCGCUUUCGCCUGUGACGAAGCGUGAGUGACGGUAAUGGGUAAAGAAGCACCGGCUAACUACGUG